Acanthosepion pharaonis is the source of this 109-nucleotide non-coding RNA. NCBI's taxonomy places the organism in Eukaryota, Metazoa, Mollusca, Cephalopoda, Sepiida, Sepiidae. The record is from the annotation of a GenBank genome assembly.
UUACGGCCAUAUCACUUUGAAACACCAGUUCUUGUACGAUUAACGAAGCAACGUCGAUCCUGGUCAGUACCUAGAUGGGUGACCGCGUGGGAAUACCAGGUGCUGUAAG